This is a long non-coding RNA of Nomascus leucogenys (northern white-cheeked gibbon), 411 nucleotides long. RefSeq lists it as uncharacterized. Lineage: Eukaryota; Metazoa; Chordata; Mammalia; Primates; Hylobatidae. The transcript is spliced from 2 exons. The record is from RefSeq and is a predicted model, not a curated record.
GGAAACGUGGGGCUCCUGAGACUGCGGAAAGAAUUGGGAGAAGGGGAGGGCUCGAAGACCCGGGCGAGGGUUCGCCGUGCGGCCCAGGUGCACAAACCACCCUAUUUGAUGAGAACUGGUUUUAAAGGAAAACGGGGCCAUCAGAAGGAAGCCGGUUGAUGUGAAGAGACAUCUGGGAAGAGGCCCUGGCGAGGGCCCUCGUUCCACUGGGUGACCCAGAAGGAGAAAACCGCGAUGGCGCUUCUCAUCUGAAAUGUUUUCUUUAUGGACAGUGUUUAGCAAUUGUUAUAAUGUGUACUUUUGUUGAUUGAUCUGUAUAAAUAUGUAAAAUAAUUUGUUCUCUGAGUUAAUUUUGUCGGAACAAAGACUUUAGUGCUUCCUAAAUUAAAACAUUUUACUGUGUUGCCAGCA